Phasianus colchicus (ring-necked pheasant) is the source of this 283-nucleotide non-coding RNA. The record is from RefSeq and is a predicted model, not a curated record. NCBI's taxonomy places the organism in Eukaryota, Metazoa, Chordata, Aves, Galliformes, Phasianidae.
UUCCCCGUGUUUGGGAGCAGCAGCCAGCAGGCUGCCGGAGAUCCAACCGCAUCUUGCAGCGCGCAGAGGGACGCGAUGGGAACAGAGCGUCCUUACUGCCACGCAAAAGGACGGAGCCUGCGCGUCUGUGGAAUGGUGCUGGGCAAGGGGGAAAGCGGAAAGCCUCCGCAGAAGCUGAUGCCAGUGACCUUCCUCUGAAGCGCAGCCUUGCAGAAAGGCAGGGGGAAGCUACAGACCAUGACAUGGCAACCACGAGAGGUACAGACGCACAACAGGCAUCUGG